GACGAACGCUGGCGGCGUGCUUAACACAUGCAAGUCGAACGGAAAGGCCCUGCUUUUGUGGGGUGCUCGAGUGGCGAACGGGUGAGUAACACGUGAGUAACCUGCCCUUGACUUUGGGAUAACUUCAGGAAACUGGGUCUAAUACCGGAUAGGAGCUCCUGCUGCAUGGUGUGGGUUGGAAAGUUUCGGCGGUUGGGGAUGGACUCGCGGCUUAUCAGCUUGUUGGUGGGGUAGUGGCUUACCAAGGCUUUGACGGGUAGCCGUCCUGAGAGGGUGACCGGCCACAUUGGGACUGAGAUACGGCACAGAAGCCUACGGGAGGCAGGAGUGGGGAAUAUUGCACAAUGGGAGGAAGCCUGAUGCAGCAACGCCGCGUGCGGGAUGAAGGCCUUCGGAUUGUAAACCGCUUUCGCCUGUGACGAAGCGUGAGUGACGGUAAUGGGUAAAGAAGCACCGGCUAACUACGUG
RNAcentral lists this ribosomal RNA (468 nucleotides) under uncultured bacterium. Its description in RNAcentral is "partial 16S ribosomal RNA". It matches the Rfam family "Bacterial small subunit ribosomal RNA", at positions 28 to 507 of the family's 1533-position model. The record is from RNAcentral.